RNAcentral lists this long non-coding RNA (2958 nucleotides) under Prunus persica (peach). Its description in RNAcentral is "long non-coding RNA (PPER_LNC004538)". Lineage: Eukaryota; Viridiplantae; Streptophyta; Magnoliopsida; Rosales; Rosaceae. The record is from RNAcentral.
CACCUUGUUUCAAAUGCUUAGUCCAAAUAGAUAUGAAAAAAAUGAAAAAUCUAAAUAAAUAAAAAAAUCAUAGCCCUCGAUUGAAACCUAAACAUCACAAUUUGACGUAAAAAAUCAAACCCUAAAUGGUAAAACUACCUCUGACGGAGGGCUGGCGGGAUCCCCAUAUCUUCUUGUCCACCAUUGUCUAAGGAGAGGUGAUGGUUGCUUGAUGGCGAUAGAUCUACUGGUAAAACCUAUAAAAAGUUAAAGAUAAACUACUAAUUACAUAAAAAACUGAACUUAAAAAAAAAAUAAAAAUUAAAACCUUAUUUACCAAUCCAAUGAUACCUUUUACACUACGAAAGACAAAAAAUCGUUAGUGAGGUAAAUAGCCCUGUUCUUAGGAAAAUUACUCCACGAACGGGGUAUUUUACUUUGAGAACGUAAGAGGUUCGUUUGUUGAGUAAAAGUGGUCGUUCCUAAAGUAAAUUGACUAAGAAACUUUAUUUACUAAUCCAACAAUACCUUUUACACUACGAACGACAAAGAGUCGUUAGGGAGUUUUAUGAAUUCUAUGUGGUGCUUUUGUUGGAAAUUUUUGUCUAUUUCGUUUUAUUAUUGUAAAUAAUGAUUUAAAUAUUAUUGCAAUUCAUGUUAUCAGACUUUGGGGCGUUAUAGUAGUCGAAGGAAUGAUGUUCACAUUAUUUAUUUACACGAGGACAUUAUAUUAUAGAGAUGUUUAGUACUUUAAUUAUAGAUAAACACAAUGUUCUAUAAGGACAAGCAGACGAACAUUAUAUGGAUACAUACUAAUGAGCCAUGAACAGAAUGUCACUUAAUGAGCCAUGAUUACCCUUUGAAUAGUUUAUUGGAGCAUAAAAUUCCAGCAAGAUCGAAGUGAUAAUAGGCAGAGGUUUCCUGGCAAUGGCAUGGCGUGUACCUAGAAUUUGUCAUGCCAUUUCACACCUUUCAUUUCAUGGGGCCAUAUCUUUUUAAAAGACACAAAUAAAGCUGCCACUAGUUGGAUUGUUUUUGUUACUUUCUCCCUUUUUUAUCUUAAAGAAAGAAAAAAAAAAAAACACAUAAUGAUUUCAUUUGCUUGACUCAAAAUAAUUGCUUUUUAAGUCAAUGGAUGCGCUUGUGCACCCAAUUCAGGAAGGAAGUAGCAACCCCAAAACCUUAUAAUUUAUUUCCAUUCGUACAGUUUGUUUCUUCACCACACCUCAUCCAUGGCACUUGUGAGAGCAACUCAACAAACCUCCUCUUCUAAUACUCCUCGAUGUUGCCGUUAUCACGUGUUCCUCAGUUUCAGAGGUGAAGACACUCGCAAGACUUUCACUGACCACCUCUUCACAGCCUUGGUCAAUGCCGGAUUUCGCACUUGCCGAGACAAUGAUGAGCUGGAGAGAGGAGAAGAUCUUAAGCCCGAACUCCAGAAAGCAAUCAAACACUCAAGAACUUCUGUUAUUGUGUUUUCGAAAGACUACGCAUUGUCCAGAUGGUGCCUUGACGAGCUUAUGAAGAUCCUUGAACGCAAGAGGACCUCACCUGACUAUGUGGUUUUACCACAAAAAUCAUUAUAAAAAAAAACAUAAUAACCAAAGCAUCACAAAACAACCAAAAAACUAAAACUGAGCAGAUGCAAAAAAUGCAUCAUCCAGAAGCAAUAACCAAAUCCGAAAAUAUAAACACUUCAACUGAUAGUUAAACCAAAUUAAUCAUCAGCUAGCUCAAGACUAAAAAUCCUCACCUUGUUUCAAAUGCUUAGUCCAAAUAGAUAUGAAAAAAAUGAAAAAUCUAAAUAAAUAAAAAAAUCAUAGCCCUCGAUUGAAACCUAAACAUCACAAUUUGACGUAAAAAAUCAAACCCUAAAUGGUAAAACUACCUCUGACGGAGGGCUGGCGGGAUCCCCAUAUCUUCUUGUCCACCAUUGUCUAAGGAGAGGUGAUGGUUGCUUGGUGGCGAUAGAUCUAGUGGUAAAACCUAUAAAAAGUUAAAGAUAAACUACUAAUUACAUAAAAAACUGAACUUAAAAAAAAAAUUAAAAAUUAAAACCUUAUUUACCAAUCCAAUGAUACCUUUUACACUAUGAAAGACAAAAAAUCGUUCGUGAGGUAAAAUAACCCUGUUCUUCGGAAAAUGAAAGGACCCGCUCUGAAUUUUUCAAAACCCGAGGCGAACCUUUUGGAAUUCCCGACAUCAUCCCGAUGCCAGUCCCACUUACUAAAGACCGAGACUUCCUGCCGAAAUUUCGGCAGAGUCUCCUCUAUAAAUUGGACAUUUCCCAAAAUUUCAACCUGCAUAAAAACGCAUUUAAUAUCCACAACUGGCAGUAUGCACAAUAUAAUUUCAUGCAAUUCACACAAACGGCCUUCGGCCUUCCAAUAAUUCUCAUCUAACUACCAAACACGCUAACAAAACAAUUCAUGUCUUAAACAAGGCAACAAUUCAAAUAUAAAUUAUGACUAACAUUUAGUCUGCGGCUGCACCUAAUAACCUUAGGCUGCCUACGUACCCUCCUUGAGGGAUCAAGCCACACGUAGUUCUUCCAUAAAAUCCAAUUCCACACUUAGGCAAUACCUUAUUUCAUUUCUCUGUAUUUCACAUAAUCUCUCCAUACGCCGGUACAACCAACGCCACGUAUGGGGCCUGUCAACACGCCGGAUAACCUACGCCACGUGCGACCAUGCCAUACUAUCAUAAUAUCUCCCCAUACGCCGGUACAACCAACGCCACGUAUGGGGUCUGUCUCAACGCCAGAUAACCUACGCCACGCGAGACCUGCACAUCAUAUCACAUAUCUCCCCAUACGCCGGUACAACCAACGCCACGUAUGGGGUCUGUCGACACGCCGGAUAACCUAAGCCACGUGCUACCUCAACACAAUAUCACAUAAUCUCCCCAUACGCCGGUACAACCAACGCCACGUAUGGGGCCUGUCUCAACGCCGGAUAACCUACGCUACGUGAGACCUGA